Molecule: ribosomal RNA, 486 nt
Filed under: uncultured bacterium
Lineage: Bacteria
Description: bacterial SSU rRNA
Rfam family: Bacterial small subunit ribosomal RNA
Source: RNAcentral
AUUGAACGCUGGCGGAAUGCUUUACACAUGCAAGUCGAACGGCAGCAUAGGUGCUUGCACCUGAUGGCGAGUGGCGAACGGGUGAGUAAUACAUCGGAACGUGCCCAGUCGUGGGGGAUAACGUAGCGAAAGUUACGCUAAUACCGCAUACGAUCUGCGGAUGAAAGCGGGGGACCGUAAGGCCUCGCGCGAUUGGAGCGGCCGAUGUUAGAUUAGGUAGUUGGUGGGGUAAAGGCUCACCAAGCCGACGAUCUAUAGCUGGUCUGAGAGGAUGAUCAGCCACACUGGGACUGAGACACGGCCCAGACUCCUACGGGAGGCAGCAGUGGGGAAUUUUGGACAAUGGGCGCAAGCCUGAUCCAGCCAUUCCGCGUGCAGGACGAAGGCCUUCGGGUUGUAAACUGCUUUUGUACAGAACGAAAAGCUCUGGGUUAAUACCCUGGGGUCAUGACGGUACUGUAAGAAUAAGCACCGGCUAACUACGUG